CGUGCGCCACCACCGCCUGGUUGAAGUUGGUUCUUUCCUUCCACCAUGUGAAUCCCUAGGAAUGAACUCAGAUCACCAAGCUUGGUGGCAGGUGCCUUUACCCACUGAGCCGUCUUUUCUAGCUACAGAGUGAGGACUUUUACAGGCUUGAUUAAGGCUCGAAACCUACCUGACCUCAUCAGUGAGCCCUUGAAGGAGAUGGAGCAAUUUCCAGCAUAUAAAUAAGAAGUAUGGGAGGGAUGAUGAAGGGGACCCCAUAGUAAGAACGUAGGUGGCCUUUGCUGGCGAACAGCAAGGAAAUGGUGACCUCAGUCCAUGAGGAACUGAAUUCAGCCAACAACAUAAGUGAGUUGGCUCUUAGUUAGGAAUACAGGCAGCUGGCAGCUGGCGUUAAGACACAGUCACGUCAGGCCGGUGCUUCUGACCUAAGAACACUGCAGGGCAGAGGCAUCCAAUGCACAUUACUCGGCCAUAUCAGAGAUUUCAACAGAGAACAAAUACAGGCGGUGGUGAGAGAAGAUCAUGUUUGAGGAGAGUGAUCAGGGGCUUGCUGCUGAGCACGAAGAAGAAAAACCAAGCCAAGGCGGUAUUGGCGCCCUGGGAUGAGGUGAGGAAGAGUGGACAAGCCACUGGCGGGAGUUGAGCUUGACCUGUGUCACUCGGGACGUCAAUGGAACGCCUACAGAGGCCCUGAAUAUCCAAGUCUUGGGGCUGGAGAUGGGACGUCCCCACCGACUUGGGCUGAGUGGUGUUAGCCUGUUAUCCAAGCACGCAGGGAGCUGAGGCAGGGUGCUAACCCCAUAAGAGCGGGAACUUGGCCGGUCUUGUUCAACGUUACUGUGGUAGCUAGUCUCCAAGAUGUACCCUGAGGAGCCUCUUUUUCUGGUGCCCAUACCACUGUGUCGUCAUUCCAGACAGAUUUGGCUUCCCCGAAUGAGCGCUGCAGACUGUGGAAGCAGUAGAAUGCGCCUUCUGAGGCACUGUGUUUCCCAUCUUACUGUCUCGGGUCCCCUACUCUGGGCUGUCUGGAAGCCAUGAUGAAGACUCUUAGGGAUCCAGAGAGGCGCACUGAGGCUUGCUGCCCAUGGGCAGACAAGGAAAUGAGCUGCAUUAGAAUGAAUGGUCAAACCCAUCAAGCCCGCUGGUGACCAUUUCCCUGCGUCAUCGUGGAAGACCCUAAUACAGAACCCACUUACCUAAGCCAUUCCUGAAGUCCAGCAUCCCCAAACCAUGAGCUAAUACAUGCUUGUCGCUUUAAACCAUGGAAAUUAAUCUUGAAGCCUUAGUUGCAUAGCAUGACAUUUAUAUUAGUGUUGACCAAAAUACAUGCUUAAUUACUAUUGGUUAAUAAAUACAUUAGGUGCUCAAUAAAUAUAAAACACGUGGU
Peromyscus maniculatus bairdii (prairie deer mouse) is the source of this 1387-nucleotide non-coding RNA. The record is from RefSeq and is a predicted model, not a curated record. NCBI's taxonomy places the organism in Eukaryota, Metazoa, Chordata, Mammalia, Rodentia, Cricetidae.